CGGAGAGUUUGAUCCUGGCUCAGGAUGAACGCUGGCGGCGUGCCUAAUACAUGCAAGUCGAACGCUUUGUGGUUCAACUGAUUUGAAGAGCUUGCUCAGAUAUGACGAUGGACAUUGCAAAGAGUGGCGAACGGGUGAGUAACACGUGGGAAACCUACCUCUUAGCAGGGGAUAACAUUUGGAAACAGAUGCUAAUACCGUAUAACAAUAGCAACCGCAUGGUUGCUACUUAAAAGAUGGUUCUGCUAUCACUAAGAGAUGGUCCCGCGGUGCAUUAGUUAGUUGGUGAGGUAAUGGCUCACCAAGACGAUGAUGCAUAGCCGAGUUGAGAGACUGAUCGGCCACAAUGGGACUGAGACACGGCCCAUACUCCUACGGGAGGCAGCAGUAGGGAAUCUUCCACAAUGGGCGAAAGCCUGAUGGAGCAACGCCGCGUGUGUGAUGAAGGGUUUCGGCUCGUAAAACACUGUUGUAAGAGAAGAAUGACAUUGAGAGUAACUGUUCAAUGUGUGACGGUAUCUUACCAGAAAGGAACGGCUAAAUACGUGCCAGCAGCCGCGGUAAUACGUAUGUUCCAAGCGUUAUCCGGAUUUAUUGGGCGUAAAGCGAGCGCAGACGGUUAUUUAAGUCUGAAGUGAAAGCCCUCAGCUCAACUGAGGAAUUGCUUUGGAAACUGGAUGACUUGAGUGCAGUAGAGGAAAGUGGAACUCCAUGUGUAGCGGUGAAAUGCGUAAAUAUAUGGAAGAACACCAGUGGCGAAGGCGGCUUUCUGGACUGUAACUGACGUUGAGGCUCGAAAGUGUGGGUAGCAAACAGGAUUAUAUACCCUGGUAGUCCACACCGUAAACGAUGAGUGCUAGGU
Molecule: ribosomal RNA, 862 nt
Filed under: uncultured bacterium
Lineage: Bacteria
Description: bacterial SSU rRNA
Rfam family: Bacterial small subunit ribosomal RNA
Source: RNAcentral